RNAcentral lists this ribosomal RNA (895 nucleotides) under uncultured bacterium. RNAcentral describes it as "bacterial SSU rRNA". It matches the Rfam family "Bacterial small subunit ribosomal RNA", at positions 11 to 916 of the family's 1533-position model. The record is from RNAcentral.
GUUUGAUCCUGGCUCAGGACGAACGCUGGCGGCGUGCUUAACACAUGCAAGUCGAACGAUGAUGACGGGGCUUGCCUCGUCUGAUUAGUGGCGAACGGGUGAGUAACACGUGAGUAACCUGCCCCAGACUCUGGGAUAACUCCGGGAAACCGGAGCUAAUACCGGAUAUGACAUUUGGCCGCAUGGUCGGGUGUGGAAAGUUUUUCGGUUUGGGAUGGGCUCGCGGCCUAUCAGCUUGUUGGUGAGGUAGUGGCUCACCAAGGCGACGACGGGUAGCCGGCCUGAGAGGGCGACCGGCCACACUGGGACUGAGACACGGCCCAGACUCCUACGGGAGGCAGCAGUGGGGAAUAUUGCACAAUGGGCGAAAGCCUGAUGCAGCGACGCCGCGUGAGGGAUGACGGCCUUCGGGUUGUAAACCUCUUUCAGCAGGGAAGAAGCGCAAGUGACGGUACCUGCAGAAGAAGCACCGGCUAACUACGUGCCAGCAGCCGCGGUAAUACGUAGGGUGCGAGCGUUGUCCGGAAUUAUUGGGCGUAACGAGCUUGUAGGCGGUUUGUCGCGUCUGCUGUGAAAAUCCGGGGCUCAACUCCGGACUUGCAGUGGGUACGGGCAGACUAGAGUGUGGUAGGGGAGACUGGAAUUCCUGGUGUAGCGGUGGAAUGCGCAGAUAUCAGGAGGAACACCGAUGGCGAAGGCAGGUCUCUGGGCCACUACUGACGCUGAGAAGCGAAAGCAUGGGGAGCGAACAGGAUUAGAUACCCUGGUAGUCCAUGCCGUAAACGUUGGGCGCUAGGUGUGGGACCCAUUCCACGGGUUCCGUGCCGCAGCUAACGCAUUAAGCGCCCCGCCUGGGGAGUACGGCCGCAAGGCUAAAACUCAAAGGAAUUGACGG